RNAcentral lists this unclassified non-coding RNA (362 nucleotides) under uncultured bacterium. Its description in RNAcentral is "contains 16S-23S intergenic spacer region". The record is from RNAcentral.
UCCCCGUUACCGGGGCAGUCUGGCUAGAAAAAUACAACUAACUAUAAGGGUUGCGCUCGUUGAUGGACUUAACCAAACAUCUCACGACACGAGCUGACGACGGCCAUGCAUCACCUGUCACUGCGGCCCGAAGGCACUCUCUCCUUUCGGAGUGAUUAGCAGGAUGUCAAGCCUGGGUAAGGUUCUUCGCUUACCAUCGAAUUAAACAACACGCUCCACCGCUUGUGCGGGUCCCCGUCAAUUCCUUUAUGUUUUAGUCUUGCGACCGUACUCCACAGGCGGGAUGCUUAACGCGUUAGCUACGCUACUAGGAGGGUCGAUACUCCUAACAGCUAGCAUCCAUCGUUUACGGCGUGGACUAC